CCUGACUGCUAUCGGAUUGAUACUAAGCCAUGCGAGUCAUUGUAGUAAUACAAGGCAGACGGCUCAGUAACGCGUAGUCAACCUACCCUAUGGACGGGAAUAACCUCGGGAAACUGAGUAUAAUGCCCGAUAGAACACUAUACCUGGAAUGGUUUGUGUUCCAAAUGAAUGUCGCCGUAGGAUGGGACUGCGGCCUAUCAGUUUGUUGGUGAGGUAAUGGCCCACCAAGACUAUUACAGGUACGGGCUCUGAGAGGAGUAGCCCGGAGAUGGGUACUGAGACACGGACCCAGGCCCUAUGGGGCGCAGCAGGCGAGAAAACUUUGCAAUGUGCGAAAGCACGACAAGGUUAAUCCGAGUGGUUUGUGCUAAACGAACCUUUUGACAGUCCUAGAAACACUGUUGAAUAAGGGGUGGGCAAGUUCUGGUGUCAGCCGCCGCGGUAAAACCAGCACCUCAAGUGGUCAGGAUGAUUAUUGGGCCUAAAGCAUCCGUAGCCGGCUCUGUAAGUUUUCGGUUAAAUCUGUACGCUCAACGUACAGGCUGCCGGGAAUACUGCAGAGCUAGGGAGUGGGAGAGGUAGACGGUACUCGGUAGGAAGGGGUAAAAUCCUUUGAUCUAUUGAUGACCACCUGUGGCGAAGGCGGUCUACCAGAACACGUCCGACGGUGAGGGAUGAAAGCUGGGGGAGCAAACCGGAUUAGAUACCCGGGUAGUCCCAGCUGUAACUAUGCAAACUCAGUGAUGCAUUGGC
RNAcentral lists this ribosomal RNA (753 nucleotides) under uncultured bacterium. Its description in RNAcentral is "bacterial SSU rRNA". It matches the Rfam family "Archaeal small subunit ribosomal RNA", at positions 21 to 783 of the family's 1478-position model. The record is from RNAcentral.